Molecule: ribosomal RNA, 546 nt
Filed under: uncultured Nitrososphaerota archaeon
Lineage: Archaea; Thermoproteati; Nitrososphaerota
Description: uncultured thaumarchaeote partial 16S ribosomal RNA
Source: RNAcentral
UACAACGCACUACCUGUUCAUAGUAGUCGUUGCUGUCAACAGCACACUGCUCACCAUCAACGCAGGGGACUACAUCUUCUACACAGACUGGGCGUGGACGUCCUUCGUUGUGUUCUCGGUGUCGCCGUCGACGAUGCAUGAUGUAGUCGCAAUAUACUACCUGUUAUUCACAUGUUUUCCAGUCCCCGCACCCUUUUCCUCCACUUCCAUCACCAUCAACACCUUGUUGCCAAAGGGCUCAGGAUUGCUACAUGGAUCCCCUGACGCCUCGUUCGGUCGACAAGACGCAACAAGCAGCCUGCCAUACUGAUUGGCGGUACGCUGGUUGGCCUAUCCUUCCCGCUGUUCAACAUGGUCAACCUGUUGCUUGUAAGGGACCCGCUCGAGGUGGCCUUCAAGUAUCCGAGACCGACUCUGCCCGCGUACAUGACGCCUAUAGAGCCUCAGGUAGGGAAGUUCUACAACUCGCCUGUCGCCCUGGGUUCAGGUGCCGGUGCAGUGCUAACGGUACCCAUCGCUGCGUUGGGUGCAAAACUAAACACGUGG